CUUACUGUCUCCCCCCUCUAAUCAGUGAAACUGAUCUCCCCGUGAAGAAGCGGGGAUAAAUUUAUAAGACGAGAAGACCCCAUGGAGCUUUAAGCUUAACGGCACCUAUUAAUUUCAUACCCUCAUAUUCUCCUAGUAAUGCUUGUUCAGCUUUGGGUUGGGGUGACCAUGGAGCAAAAAAUAGCCUCCACGAAGAAAGGAACAAAACCCUUAUCAAAGAGUUACAUCUCUAUGAAUUAGAACACUAACUUUUAAUGAUCCGAUAAUCGAUCAACGAACCAAGUUACCCUGGGGAUAACAGCGCAAUCCAUCUCAAGAGCUCCUAUCGACAGGUGGG
This 337-nucleotide ribosomal RNA is filed under the name Boophis pyrrhus. RNAcentral's name for it is "partial 16S ribosomal RNA". It matches the Rfam family "Bacterial large subunit ribosomal RNA", at positions 2012 to 2516 of the family's 2925-position model. Lineage: Eukaryota; Metazoa; Chordata; Amphibia; Anura; Mantellidae. The record is from RNAcentral.